CACCAAUUUGAUUUUGAAUUCAUAUGAAAUCAUAGAAAAAAAUGGUCUGCACUGACCUCCAAACCAGUCUUAUAACAGAGCUUUUGUUUAACUUCUUCAAAUAUUUCAACAAUUGGAUAUUAGUCCAUGCUUACUCUUCAUUAUUUAAGAAAUGGAUACUUGUAAGAAAUUGUAUUUGCUAAAUUGAAACAAAUGACGUUUUGAUGACGUCGCAUGGUCACGUUUCCGUACAUUUUGCUUUUUCAGUAAACAUCUCAUCUGUUGUUAAAUACUGUGAACGUUUUGUGAAUAUCUAAAUAUUUUUACCUAUCUUGAAAGAUGUGCAUAGUAUCAAAUCAUAAAAAUACAAAUUGUUUAGUCUCUAGGAAAUCUUCUAAGAUUUCCGCUGCUAUUUGUCUAAAUAGGUGCAAUUUGGGUACCGAUGCAAAAAGAGGACGAAAGAUACCAGAGGGGAGUCAAACUCAUAUAUAGAAAAUAAACUGAAAACCCCAUGGUUAAAAAUAAAAAGACAAACAGACAAAUUAUAGUACAGAAGACACAACAUAGAAAACUAAAGACAAAGCAACAAAAACCCCACCAAAAACUUGUGGUGAUCACAGGUGCUCCGGAAGGGUAAGCAGAUACUACUCCACAUGUGGCACCCGUCGUGUUUGGUGCCGUGACGGUAGAUGCAUACAUACCGAAUCAUGCCAAGGAGCAUACGCUCAAAAGUAAAAUAAGGGUAUACAGAGAGAAAUAACUGUAAAAUAAUUAAAAAGAUUAACAUCUCCAGUUCCUAUAUUCUAUAAGUAAAGACCA
RNAcentral lists this long non-coding RNA (798 nucleotides) under Mytilus galloprovincialis (Mediterranean mussel). The record is from RNAcentral. Lineage: Eukaryota; Metazoa; Mollusca; Bivalvia; Mytilida; Mytilidae.